UACGGAGGGUGCAAGCGUUAUCCGGAUUUACUGGGUUUAAAGGGUGCGUAGGCGGGCUUUUAAGUCAGCGGUGAAAUCUCCGGGCUCAACCCGGAAAUUGCCGUUGAUACUAUUAGUCUUGAAUUAAGUUGAGGUGGGCGGAAUAUGUCAUGUAGCGGUGAAAUGCUUAGAUAUGACAUAGAACACCGAUUGCGAAGGCAGCUCGCUAAACUUAUAUUGACGCUGAGGCACGAAAGCGUGGGGAGCAAACAGG
RNAcentral lists this ribosomal RNA (253 nucleotides) under uncultured bacterium. RNAcentral describes it as "partial 16S ribosomal RNA". It matches the Rfam family "Bacterial small subunit ribosomal RNA", at positions 524 to 776 of the family's 1533-position model. The record is from RNAcentral.